Molecule: ribosomal RNA, 691 nt
Filed under: Methylobacterium sp. B25
Lineage: Bacteria; Pseudomonadati; Pseudomonadota; Alphaproteobacteria; Hyphomicrobiales; Methylobacteriaceae
Description: bacterial SSU rRNA
Rfam family: Bacterial small subunit ribosomal RNA
Source: RNAcentral
UCUGAACNUGGCGGCAGGCUUAACACAUGCAAGUCGAGCGGGCCCUUCGGGGUCAGCGGCGGACGGGUGAGUAACGCGUGGGAACGUGCCUUCUGGUUCGGAAUAACCCUGGGAAACUAGGGCUAAUACCGGAUACGCCCUUUUGGGGAAAGGUUUACUGCCGGAAGAUCGGCCCGCGUCUGAUUAGCUAGUUGGUGGGGUAACGGCCUACCAAGGCGACGAUCAGUAGCUGGUCUGAGAGGAUGAUCAGCCACACUGGGACUGAGACACGGCCCAGACUCCUACGGGAGGCAGCAGUGGGGAAUAUUGGACAAUGGGCGCAAGCCUGAUCCAGCCAUGCCGCGUGAGUGAUGAAGGCCUUAGGGUUGUAAAGCUCUUUUAUCCGGGACGAUAAUGACGGUACCGGAGGAAUAAGCCCCGGCUAACUUCGUGCCAGCAGCCGCGGUAAUACGAAGGGGGCUAGCGUUGCUCGGAAUCACUGGGCGUAAAGGGCGCGUAGGCGGCGUUUUAAGUCGGGGGUGAAAGCCUGUGGUCAACCACAGAAUGGCCUUCGAUACUGGGACGCUUGAGUAUGGUAGAGGUUGGUGGAACUGCGAGUGUAGAGGUGAAAUUCGUAGAUAUUCGCAAGAACACCGGUGGCGAAGGCGGCCAACUGGACCAUUACUGACGCUGAGGCCGAAANGUGGGGAGC